This 424-nucleotide ribosomal RNA is filed under the name Verrucomicrobiota bacterium. RNAcentral describes it as "Verrucomicrobia bacterium partial 16S ribosomal RNA". It matches the Rfam family "Bacterial small subunit ribosomal RNA", at positions 355 to 776 of the family's 1533-position model. Lineage: Bacteria; Pseudomonadati; Verrucomicrobiota. The record is from RNAcentral.
UGAGGAAUAUUGGUCAAUGGACGCAAGUCUGAACCAGCCAAGUAGCGUGCAGGAUGACGGCCCUAUGGGUUGUAAACUGCUUUUAUAUGGGGAUAAAGUGGGGAACGUGUUCCCUUUUGCAGGUACCAUAUGAAUAAGGACCGGCUAAUUCCGUGCCAGCAGCCGCGGUAAUACGGAAGGUCCGGGCGUUAUCCGGAUUUAUUGGGUUUAAAGGGAGCGUAGGCUGUCUAUUAAGCGUGUUGUGAAAUAUACCGGCUCAACCGGUGGCUUGCAGCGCGAACUGGUCGACUUGAGUAUGCAGGAAGUAGGCGGAAUUCAUGGUGUAGCGGGGAAAUGCUUAGAUAUCAUGACGAACUCCGAUUGCGCAGGCAGCUUACUGUAGCAUAACUGACGCUGAUGCUCGAAAGUGCGGGUAUCAAACAGG